Molecule: non-coding RNA, 113 nt
Organism: Acanthosepion pharaonis
Lineage: Eukaryota; Metazoa; Mollusca; Cephalopoda; Sepiida; Sepiidae
Source: the annotation of a GenBank genome assembly
UUACGGCCAUAUUACGUUGAAACACCAAUUCUCGUAUGAUCGCCGAAGUUAAGCAACGCUGUGUCUGUUCACUGCCUAAAGGGGUGACCGCUUGGGAAUACCAGAUGCCGUAA